GGGUUAAAGUGUGUGGCACCAUGCCUGGGGAAACCAAGAGGUCUUAAGGCUGUGACCAAAGACUGAAGUUCUCCACAGGAUGCCACAUUCACCCCCAGAUUUGUUUUUCUGAGAUGUAAUCAGU
Molecule: small nucleolar RNA, 124 nt
Filed under: Nannospalax galili (Upper Galilee mountains blind mole rat)
Lineage: Eukaryota; Metazoa; Chordata; Mammalia; Rodentia; Spalacidae
Description: Small nucleolar RNA SNORA25 (ENSNGAG00000006912.1)
Source: RNAcentral